CCCCUAGAUGUUCUGGGCCGCACGCGCGCUACACUGAACAGUUCAACAAGUCUUAACCUUGGCCGAUAGGUCUGGGUAAUCUUUGAACGCUGUUCGUGAUUGGGAUAGACCUUUGCAAUUAUGGGUCUUCAACGAGGAAUUCCUAGUAAACGCAAGUCAUCAGCUUGCAUUGAUUACGUCCCUGCCCUUUGUACACACCGCCCGUCGCACCUACCGAUUGAAUGGUCCGGUGAAAUCUCGGGACGGCGGCUUGGUCGCUUGCGUCCGACUGCUAAAACUUGAUUAAACCAUAUCAUUUAGAGGAAGGUGAAGUCGUAACA
This 320-nucleotide ribosomal RNA is filed under the name uncultured eukaryote. Its description in RNAcentral is "partial 18S ribosomal RNA". It matches the Rfam family "Eukaryotic small subunit ribosomal RNA", at positions 1470 to 1796 of the family's 1831-position model. The record is from RNAcentral.